Molecule: unclassified non-coding RNA, 404 nt
Filed under: soil metagenome
Description: partial contains 5.8S ribosomal RNA, internal transcribed spacer 2, and large subunit ribosomal RNA
Rfam family: 5.8S ribosomal RNA (bases 1-122)
Source: RNAcentral
GAUGAAGAACGUAGCAAAAUGCGAUACUUGGUGUGAAUUGCAGAAUCCCGUGAACCAUCGAGUUUUUGAACGCAAGUUGCGCCCGAAGCCUUUUGGCCGAGGGCACGUCUGCCUGGGCGUCACGCAUCGCGUCGCCCCCCACAAUCCUCCGUAAGGGGAACUCGUGUUUUGGGGGCGGAUAUUGGUCUCCCGUGCUCACGGCGUGGUUGGCCGAAAUAGGAGUCCCUUCGAUGGACGCACGAACUAGUGGUGGUCGUAAAAACCCUCGUCUUUUGUUUCGUGCUGUUAGUCGCAAGGGAAACUCUAAGAAAACCCCAACGUGUUGUCUUUUGACGGCGCUUCGACCGCGACCCCAGGUCAGGCGGGACUACCCGCUGAGUUUAAGCAUAUCAAUAAGCGGAGGA